GGGGAUUUAGCUCAGUGGCAGAGCACUUGCCUAGCAAGCACAAGGCAAGUCCCCA
This 55-nucleotide transfer RNA is filed under the name Rattus norvegicus (Norway rat). The record is from Rfam by way of RNAcentral. Lineage: Eukaryota; Metazoa; Chordata; Mammalia; Rodentia; Muridae.